This is a non-coding RNA of Cinara cedri, 354 nucleotides long. Lineage: Eukaryota; Metazoa; Arthropoda; Insecta; Hemiptera; Aphididae. The record is from the annotation of a GenBank genome assembly.
ACUUAUCGAUAUUUGAUAACCGGGCGAAGCAGUCCGCGCGUGUUACUGGUUAGGUGCAGGUGCAGAUGAUGAUUCACUUUUAAGUCAGUAGGCAUAAAAUAUUAUUGUUUUUGGCUAUUUUCUCAAAGUAAAUAUUAUUUACAAAAAGAAAGUUCGAAUGACGACCGAGCAAACAGAACGAAUCGAAGAAAACAUACUUUCGCACACGUCGCGCGUCGUCGCGUCCGGUCGAAUAUAAUUGAUACCGAAAAUCGAGUGGACGAAACUAUGACGGGGGAAAACACUGCGAAACACUUAAGUUUAUACCUGUGCGUGGAUACGCAACGGUUUGUGCCAAUGUUUCAGAUGACGUAG